UGAGGCCAUUGCUAUCGGAGUCCGAUUUAGCCUGCUAGUUGUGCGGGUUUAGACCCGCAGCGGAAAGCUCAGUAACACGUGGCCAAGCUACCCUGUGGACGGGAAUACUCUCGGGAAACUGAGGCUAAUCCCCGAUAACGCUUUGCUCCUGGAAGGGGCAAAGCCGGAAACGCUCCGGCGCCACAGGAUGCGGCUGCGGUCGAUUAGGUAGACGGUGGGGUAACGGCCCACCGUGCCCAUAAUCGGUACGGGUUGUGAGAGCAAGAGCCCGGAGACGGAAUCUGAGACAAGAUUCCGGGCCCUACGGGGCGCAGCAGGCGCGAAACCUUUACACUGUACGAAAGUGCGAUAAGGGGACUCCGAGUGUGAAGGCAUAGAGCCUUCACUUUUGUACACCGUAAGGUGGUGCACGAAUAAGGACUGGGCAAGACCGGUGCCAGCCGCCGCGGUAAUACCGGCAGUCCGAGUGAUGGCCGAUCUUAUUGGGCCUAAAGCGUCCGUAGCUGGCUGAACAAGUCCGUUGGGAAAUCUGUCCGCUUAACGGGCAGGCGUCCAGCGGAAACUGUUCAGCUUGGGACCGGAAGACCUGAGGGGUACGUCUGGGGUAGGAGUGAAAUCCUGUAAUCCUGGACGGACCGCCGGUGGCGAAAGCGCCUCAGGAGAACGGAUCCGACAGUGAGGGACGAAAGCUAGGGUCUCGAACCGGAUUAGAUACCCGGGUAGUCCUAGCUGUAAACGAUGUCCGCUAGGUGUGGCGCAGGCUACGAGCCUGCGCUGUGCCGUAGGGAAGCCGAGAAGCGGACCGCCUGGGAAGUACGUCUGCAAGGAUGAAACUUAAAGGAAUGGCGGGGGAGCACUACACCGGGGACCCUGCGGUUUAAUUGGC
This 886-nucleotide ribosomal RNA is filed under the name Halobacterium salinarum. RNAcentral's name for it is "bacterial SSU rRNA". It matches the Rfam family "Archaeal small subunit ribosomal RNA", at positions 19 to 910 of the family's 1478-position model. Lineage: Archaea; Methanobacteriati; Methanobacteriota; Halobacteria; Halobacteriales; Halobacteriaceae. The record is from RNAcentral.